RNAcentral lists this ribosomal RNA (1822 nucleotides) under Burkholderia pseudomallei BDU 2. RNAcentral describes it as "bacterial LSU rRNA". It matches the Rfam family "Bacterial large subunit ribosomal RNA", at positions 1106 to 2925 of the family's 2925-position model. Lineage: Bacteria; Pseudomonadati; Pseudomonadota; Betaproteobacteria; Burkholderiales; Burkholderiaceae. The record is from RNAcentral.
UUAGAAGCAGCCACCCUUUAAAGAAAGCGUAAUAGCUCACUGAUCGAGUCGUCCUGCGCGGAAGAUGUAACGGGGCUAAGCCAUAUACCGAAGCUGCGGAUGCGAGCUAGUCUCGCAUGGUAGGAGAGCGUUCCGUAAGCCUGCGAAGGUGCGUUGAAAAGCGUGCUGGAGGUAUCGGAAGUGCGAAUGCUGACAUGAGUAGCGAUAAAGGGGGUGAAAGGCCCCCUCGCCGUAAGCCCAAGGUUUCCUACGCAACGUUCAUCGGCGUAGGGUGAGUCGGCCCCUAAGGCGAGGCAGAAAUGCGUAGCUGAUGGGAAGCAGGUCAAUAUUCCUGCACCAUUGUUAGAUGCGAUGGGGGGACGGAUCGCGGAAGGUUGUCCGGGUGUUGGAAGUCCCGGUCGCUGCAUUGGAGAAGGCGCUUAGGCAAAUCCGGGCGUAGGAUUCAAGGGUGUGGCGCGAGCUCCUUCGGGAGCGAAGCAAUUGGAAGUGGUUCCAAGAAAAGCCUCUAAGCUUCAGUCUAACGAUGACCGUACCGCAAACCGACACAGGUGGGCGAGAUGAGUAUUCUAAGGCGCUUGAGAGAACUCGGGAGAAGGAACUCGGCAAAUUGGUACCGUAACUUCGGGAUAAGGUACGCCCUGGUAGCUUGACUGGCCUGCGCCAGAAGGGUGAAGGGGUUGCAAUAAACUGGUGGCUGCGACUGUUUAAUAAAAACACAGCACUCUGCAAACACGAAAGUGGACGUAUAGGGUGUGACGCCUGCCCGGUGCCGGAAGAUUAAAUGAUGGGGUGCAAGCUCUUGAUUGAAGUCCCGGUAAACGGCGGCCGUAACUAUAACGGUCCUAAGGUAGCGAAAUUCCUUGUCGGGUAAGUUCCGACCUGCACGAAUGGCGUAACGAUGGCCACACUGUCUCCUCCCGAGACUCAGCGAAGUUGAAGUGUUUGUGAUGAUGCAAUCUACCCGCGGCUAGACGGAAAGACCCCAUGAACCUUUACUGUAGCUUUGCAUUGGACUUUGAACCGAUCUGUGUAGGAUAGGUGGGAGGCUAUGAAACCGGAACGCUAGUUUCGGUGGAGCCGUCCUUGAAAUACCACCCUGGUUUGUUUGAGGUUCUAACCUUGGCCCGUGAUCCGGGUCGGGGACAGUGCAUGGUAGGCAGUUUGACUGGGGCGGUCUCCUCCCAAAGCGUAACGGAGGAGUACGAAGGUACGCUAGGUACGGUCGGAAAUCGUGCUGAUAGUGCAAUGGCAUAAGCGUGCUUAACUGCGAGACCGACAAGUCGAGCAGGUGCGAAAGCAGGUCAUAGUGAUCCGGUGGUUCUGUAUGGAAGGGCCAUCGCUCAACGGAUAAAAGGUACUCUGGGGAUAACAGGCUGAUACCGCCCAAGAGUUCAUAUCGACGGCGGUGUUUGGCACCUCGAUGUCGGCUCAUCUCAUCCUGGGGCUGUAGCCGGUCCCAAGGGUAUGGCUGUUCGCCAUUUAAAGAGGUACGUGAGCUGGGUUUAAAACGUCGUGAGACAGUUUGGUCCCUAUCUGCCGUGGGCGUUGGAAGUUUGAAGGGGGCUGCUCCUAGUACGAGAGGACCGGAGUGGACGAACCUCUGGUGUACCGGUUGUGACGCCAGUCGCAUCGCCGGGUAGCUAUGUUCGGAAGAGAUAACCGCUGAAAGCAUCUAAGCGGGAAACUCGCCUUAAGAUGAGACUUCCCCGGGGACUUGAUCCCCUUGAAGGGUCGUUCGAGACCAGGACGUUGAUAGGUCGGGUGUGUAAGCGCAGUAAUGCGUUCAGCUAACCGAUACUAAUUGCCCGUACGGCUUGAUCCU